UGGAUAGAUUAUUAUAUUUGACUGUAUUCACGGCGUGAAAUAGGGGAUUACACUGUUUUUAAAACGGAAAGUGAAUCAAUUAACAUAAUAGACUCCU
This 97-nucleotide microRNA precursor is filed under the name Nicotiana attenuata. RNAcentral's name for it is "MIR6152 microRNA precursor family". It matches the Rfam family "MIR6152 microRNA precursor family". The record is from Rfam by way of RNAcentral. Lineage: Eukaryota; Viridiplantae; Streptophyta; Magnoliopsida; Solanales; Solanaceae.